GUGCUCGCUUCGGUAGCACAUAUAUUAAAAUUGGAAUGAUACAGAGAUGAUUAAUAAGAUCCCUGCACAAGGAUGACUUGCAAAUUUGUGAAGCAUUCCAUAUUUUU
Molecule: small nuclear RNA, 107 nt
Organism: Sorex araneus (European shrew)
Lineage: Eukaryota; Metazoa; Chordata; Mammalia; Eulipotyphla; Soricidae
Source: Ensembl